Molecule: ribosomal RNA, 440 nt
Filed under: uncultured bacterium
Lineage: Bacteria
Description: partial 16S ribosomal RNA
Rfam family: Bacterial small subunit ribosomal RNA
Source: RNAcentral
CCUACGGGUGGCAGCAGUGGGGACUAUUGCACAAUUGGGGAAACCCUGAUGCAGCGACGCCGCGUGCGUGAAGAAGUAUCUCGGUACGUAAAGCUCUAUCAGCAGGGAAGAUAAUGACGGUAACUGACAAAGAAGCCCUGGCUAACGACGAGACAGCAGAAGCGGUAAUACGUAGGGGGCAACCGUUAUCCGGAUUGACUGGGGGUAAAGGGAACGUAGACUGCAGAAAAAUUCUGGAGUGAAGUCCCGGGGGUUAAACCCGUAACUGCUUUGGAAACUGUGCGGCUGGAGUGCAGGAGGGGUAAGCGGAAUUCCUAGUGUAGAGGUGAAAUGAGUAGAUAUUAGGAGGAACACCGGUGGCGAAGGCAGCUUACUGGCCUGUAACUGACGUUGAGGCUCGAAGGCGUGGGGAGCAAACAGGAUUAGAUACCCGGGUAGUC